Clupea harengus (Atlantic herring) is the source of this 917-nucleotide long non-coding RNA. The record is from Ensembl. NCBI's taxonomy places the organism in Eukaryota, Metazoa, Chordata, Actinopteri, Clupeiformes, Clupeidae.
GUGAGUAUAAACUACUUUAUUAUACAGCUCUUCAGAGUGUUCCAAAAAGUUCCGUUGAUUUGAAUGGGCCACCCCAACGUUCGCAGGUCUUGAUAUUCAUAGUUUUCACGGGACGUCAGAAUGCCAGUUGGUGAGCAAGAAAAACAUCCCGCAGCUGUCUAUCACUGGAAUUUUUACAGGAACCGACCACCUUUCAUUCAAGAUCAUUUAAUAUCUCCGCUUUAACAGUGUCUGACUUAGGUAGUAAAAUGCCAGACAGUUGUUGCUCGGUUAGCUGUUCAAUUCGGCGAGGAGACAAGCCCGGAUUGUGUUUUUAUCGCAUUUAAAACCCACCCACGUUGCUGCCAGCCAGAUGAUGUACCGCUUGUUUUCCGCCUUGGGUGUUCUAUUCGGAAUGGCCUCAGCGGACGGCUCUUAUGGCUUAGGGCCGAAGCCAAAGAGGAUAUGUCCUGGGAUGCCAUUCAGUUUUACACUGACAUAUAAGAUAAGCGGAGCAGACUUGAUGUUCUACAAGAACGGGGUUGAGAGGAAGGUUGCCACUACCAAGGAGAUUAUAGACCCCCAGUUUCGGCUCAAUGGCACUGUACCUUAUUUACCCGAGGUCAUGAAAACGCAUGAAGGGAAGUAUUAUUGGAAGGCUCCAUCGGUCGAUUUUGAACUGAAUUACAUCAGACUAAUUCUGAAAGACUGCAGUGUUCGUCAAAAUGUGGUGUACGGUGAGGAGUUGGCCUUAAAUGUGCCGGCGGACGCGUCUGUGUUGGAGUUCACCCCUCACCUCUCAGACCAACACUCCGUCCUGUGGAGACGGAUACACAGAGGGGGGGACGAGGAAGCAAGGGGCGCGGUUAAGGACGGCCGCUGGACAGCACAGAGGAUGACCCAAGCGGAUCAGGGGCGCUACACUUUACUCAGGGAGA